AGACACCCUUCUGGGGCAAGACUUGCUUCAGUGGGGCUUUGGUGCUCACUGAGUCUUCCCCCUAAGUGUGUUCCU
This 75-nucleotide microRNA precursor is filed under the name Myotis lucifugus (little brown bat). Its description in RNAcentral is "mir-9229 microRNA precursor family". It matches the Rfam family "mir-9229 microRNA precursor family". The record is from Rfam by way of RNAcentral. Lineage: Eukaryota; Metazoa; Chordata; Mammalia; Chiroptera; Vespertilionidae.